UCCAGCUUAUCGCUGGCGGUCUCCUGAGAGUGCACCCGAAGGUUAGCAACACAGGACAGGGGUUGCGCUCGUUGCGCCACUUAAGGCAACACCUCACGGCACGAGCUGACGACAGCCAUGCACCACCUGUGCGGGCUCCGUAGAGCGCCGGCUUUCACCGGCUUUACCCCGCAUGUCAAGCCCAGGUAAGGUUCUUCGCGUCGCGUCGAAUUAAACCACAUGCUCCACCGCUUGUGCAGGCCCCCGUCAAUUUCUUUGAGUUUUAACCUUGCGGCCGUACUCCCCAGGCGGAGAACUUAACGCGUUAGCUGCGCCACCGGAACGCUAAGCGCCCCGACAGCUAGUUCUCAUCGUUUACGGCGUGGACUAC
Molecule: unclassified non-coding RNA, 370 nt
Filed under: uncultured bacterium
Lineage: Bacteria
Description: contains 16S-23S intergenic spacer region
Source: RNAcentral